RNAcentral lists this ribosomal RNA (773 nucleotides) under uncultured bacterium. RNAcentral describes it as "bacterial SSU rRNA". It matches the Rfam family "Bacterial small subunit ribosomal RNA", at positions 8 to 798 of the family's 1533-position model. The record is from RNAcentral.
AGAGUUUGAUCAUGGCUCAGGACGAACGCUGGCGGCGUGCUUAACACAUGCAAGUCGAACGGAAAGGCCCUUCGGGGUACUCGAGUGGCGAACGGGUGAGUAACACGUGGGUGAUCUGCCCUGCACUCUGGGAUAAGCCUGGGAAACUGGGUCUAAUACCGGAUAGGACCGCAUGCUUCAUGGUGUGUGGUGCAAAGCUUUUGCGGUGUGGGAUGAGCCCGCGGCCUAUCAGCUUGUUGGUGGGGUAAUGGCCUACCAAGGCGACGACGGGUAGCCGGCCUGAGAGGGUGACCGGCCACACUGGGACUGAGAUACGGCCCAGACUCCUACGGGAGGCAGCAGUGGGGAAUAUUGCACAAUGGGCGCAAGCCUGAUGCAGCGACGCCGCGUGAGGGAUGACGGCCUUCGGGUUGUAAACCUCUUUCAGUAGGGACGAAGCGAAAGUGACGGUACCUACAGAAGAAGGACUGGCCAACUACGUGCCAGCAGCCGCGGUAAUACGUAGGGUCCGAGCGUUGUCCGGAAUUACUGGGCGUAAAGAGCUCGUAGGUGGUUUGUCGCGUUGUUCGUGAAAACUCACAGCUUAACUGUGGGCGUGCGGGCGAUACGGGCAGACUAGAGUACUGCAGGGGAGACUGGAAUUCCUGGUGUAGCGGUGGAAUGCGCAGAUAUCAGGAGGAACACCGGUGGCGAAGGCGGGUCUCUGGGCAGUAACUGACGCUGAGGAGCGAAAGCGUGGGUAGCGAACAGGAUUAGAUACCCUGGUAGUCCAA